GAUGAACGCUGACAGAAUGCUUAACACAUGCAAGUCGAUGGGGAAGUGGUGCUUGCACCAUGGCAACCAUGGCGGACGGGUGAGUAACGCGUAAGGGACUUACCUGCAGGACUGGGAUAACAGGGGGAAACUUCUGACAAGACCGGAUAAUGUCAUGGAGCUGCAUGGCUUUAUGAUGAAAGGAGACGCCUGCGGAGAGCCUUGCGUCCUAUUAGCUAGUUGGUGAGGUAAUGGCUCACCAAGGCGAAGAUAGGUAGCCGGCCUGAGAGGGUGGACGGCCACAAGGGGACUGAGAUACGGCCCUUACUCCUACGGGAGGCAGCAGUGGGGAAUAUUGGACAAUGGGGGCAACCCUGAUCCAGCAAUUCUGUGUGCACGAAGAAGGUUUUCGGAGUGUAAAGUGCUUUCAGCAGGGAAGAAGUAAGUGACGGUACCUGCAGAAGAAGCGACGGCUAAAUACGUG
RNAcentral lists this ribosomal RNA (463 nucleotides) under uncultured bacterium. RNAcentral describes it as "partial 16S ribosomal RNA". It matches the Rfam family "Bacterial small subunit ribosomal RNA", at positions 28 to 507 of the family's 1533-position model. The record is from RNAcentral.